RNAcentral lists this long non-coding RNA (242 nucleotides) under Rattus norvegicus (Norway rat). Its description in RNAcentral is "long non-coding RNA NONRATT005590". Lineage: Eukaryota; Metazoa; Chordata; Mammalia; Rodentia; Muridae. The record is from RNAcentral.
AUCAACUGGAAGCCCCAUUGCCCUGGACCAGGCACCCGGUCAGGUCAUGUGGUCUUUGAUUCCCGCCAGAAACCGUUAGUAACUGGCAGGGAAAAGUGUGAAGCUCUAACUUCCAGGCGUUUUCGUCAAGAGACACCCAGAAACUCAGAGGAGACCCAGAAGGAGUGGGGAUAUGAAAAUGUGAUGAGGACCUUGAACAAAGAUGGGACAAAUACUCAUCGGGAAUAAAGAGACAAGAGAAA